RNAcentral lists this ribosomal RNA (253 nucleotides) under uncultured bacterium. RNAcentral's name for it is "partial 16S ribosomal RNA". It matches the Rfam family "Bacterial small subunit ribosomal RNA", at positions 524 to 776 of the family's 1533-position model. The record is from RNAcentral.
UACAGAGGGUGCAAGCGUUGUUCGGAAUUACUGGGCGUAAAGCGCGUGUAGGCGGCUUACUAAGUCAGAUGUGAAAUCCCUUGGCUUAACCGAGGAACUGCAUCUGAUACUGGUGAGCUAGAGUGUCGGAGGGGAUGGUAGAAUUCCUGGUGUAGAGGUGAAAUUCGUAGAGAUCAGGAGGAAUACCUGUGGCGAAGGCGACCAUCUGGAAGACAACUGACGCUGAGACGCGAAAGCGUGGGUAGCAAACAGG